RNAcentral lists this long non-coding RNA (1561 nucleotides) under Homo sapiens (human). RNAcentral's name for it is "non-protein coding lnc-DR1-2:1". The record is from RNAcentral. Lineage: Eukaryota; Metazoa; Chordata; Mammalia; Primates; Hominidae.
GCUGUUUUCUUUUUUGCCUCUGUCCCCAACAAUUUGACCACAAGUCCUACCCCACCUCCUCUGUUUUUCACCAUCCCCCAGGAUAUAAAGUGUCAUGGUUAGGAUCGGCCAGGGUGAAGAGAAUGAUAACAUAAGUAGCCUCCUUUCACCUAAAGUAUUACCACUGGUUCUUAUCCUAUUUCCUCAAAAUAAAUGAGAAGAGAAAGUAAGGAAUAAGAGGAAGAAACUUUUUUUUUUUUUUUAAAGAAACAGGGUCUCACUAUGUUUCCUUUUUCUUUUUUCUUUUCUUUUCUUUCUUUUUUUUUUUUUUUUUUUUGAGACAGAGUCUUGCUCUGUCACCCAGGCUGGAAUGCAGUGGCGCGAUCUCGGCUCACUGCAAGCUCCGCCUCCCGGGUUCACGCCAUUCUCCUGCCUCAGCCUCCUGAGUAGCUGGGACUACAGGUGCCCGCUAGCACGCCCAGCUAAUUUUUUUUGUUUUUUUUUAGUAGAGACAGGGUUUCACCGUGUUAGCCAGGAUGGUCUCGAUCUCCUGACCUCGUGAUACUGCACUCCAGUCUGGGCAACAGAGCAAAAUCCUAUCUCAAAAAAAAUAUAUAUAUUAUCCAGCCCCAAAUGUUUGGAUUAGGUAAUGAAAUUACAAGAAGAACUGGAGGAGCAAAAAAGGCAAGGCAGGCACGAUUGCCCAGAUAUGAGUGCGCCACCAUGCCUGGCUAAUUUUUUUUAGGAGAGAUAGGCUCUCACUAUGUUGCCCAGGCUGGUCUCAAACCCCUGGGCUCAAGUGAUCCUCCCAUCUUGGCCUCCCAAAUUGUUGGGAUUAUAGGCAUGACCCACUGCACCCAGACAGGGCCUUUUCACUGCAUAAGAAAUCACCUUGGCCAGGCAUAGUGGCUUACACCUAUAAUCCCAGCACUUUGGAGGGCCAAGGCAGGUGGAUUGCUUGAGCCCAGGAGUUCGAGACCAGCCUGGGCAACAUGGCGAAAUCCCAUCUCUACAAAAAAUACAAAAAGUAGUCGGCAUUGUGGCAUGUGCCUGUAGUGCCAGCUACUUGGGAGGCUGAGAUGGGAGAAUCGCUUGAGCCCAGGAGUUUGAGGCUGCAGUGAGCUGAGAUCAUGCCACUGCACUCCAUCCUGGGUGACAGAGCAAGACCCUGUCUCAAAAAAAAACAAAAAACAAACAAAAAACCCUCAAAAUUUAGCAGCUUAAAACAACAAUCAUUAUCUCUUACAAUUCUGAUAAUUGAAUGAGCUCAGCUGAGCAGUUCUUCAUAUGCUAUAUUAUUUAAUUAAUCUGAGGGAUUAAUUAAAAGGUCCAAGAUGGCUAACUUGUAUGACCAUUAGCUGGUACUAUCAGGUGGGAUCUCAGCUGGGGUGGCCAGUUGCAGCGCCCUGAUUCUCCUCCAUGUGGCUUGAGCUUUCUUUAGCUUAGUGGGAUUCUAAGAAUGAACAUCUCAAGAGUGUUACCAGGGGGAAGGAAGUAGAAACUGCUAGUCCUCCUAAGUGCUGGGCUCAGAAGUCCCAAAACAGCUCCUCCAUCACAUUCUAUUGGUCAGAGCAAUUGCAGG